ACACUAUGUGUUGUUGGGUAGGGGAGCGUUCUGUAAGCCUGCGAAGGUGACCUGUGAGGGUUGCUGGAGGUAUCAGAAGUGCGAAUGCUGACAUAAGUAACGAUAAAGCGGGUGAAAAGCCCGCUCGCCGGAAGACCAAGGGUUCCUGUCCAACGUUAAUCGGGGCAGGGUGAGUCGACCCCUAAGGCGAGGCCGAAAGGCGUAGUCGAUGGGAAACAGGUUAAUAUUCCUGUACUUGGUGUUACUGCGAAGGGGGGACGGAGAAGGCUAUGUUAGCCGGGCGACGGUUGUCCCGGUUUAAGCAUGUAGGCUGGUUAUCCAGGCAAAUCCGGAUAAUCAAGGCUGAGGUGUGAUGACGAGGCACUACGGUGCUGAAGUAACAAAUGCCCUGCUUCCAGGAAAAGCCUCUAAGCAUCAGGUAACAUCAAAUCGUACCCCAAACCGACACAGGUGGUCAGGUAGAGAAUACCAAGGCGCUUGAGAGAACUCGGGGGAAGGCACUAGGCAAAAUGGUGCCGUAACUUCGGGAGAAGGCACGCUGGUGUGUAGGUGAAGUCCCUGCGGAUGGAGCUGAGACCAGUCGAAGAUACCAGCUGGCUGCAACUGUUUAUUAAAAACACAGCACUGUGCAAACACGAAAGUGGACGUAUACGGUGUGACGCCUGCCC
Molecule: ribosomal RNA, 668 nt
Filed under: Mycobacterium tuberculosis
Lineage: Bacteria; Bacillati; Actinomycetota; Actinomycetes; Mycobacteriales; Mycobacteriaceae
Description: partial 23S ribosomal RNA
Rfam family: Bacterial large subunit ribosomal RNA
Source: RNAcentral